Molecule: non-coding RNA, 1917 nt
Organism: Oncorhynchus mykiss (rainbow trout)
Lineage: Eukaryota; Metazoa; Chordata; Actinopteri; Salmoniformes; Salmonidae
Source: RefSeq, a predicted model, not a curated record
AGAACAGUAGAACAAGAAUGAGAAAGAAGAGAAGAUGAUUCUGGUUAAGUAUUUCUCCCAGUAGCUUGCUGGGAAAAAAUAUCUUGGUAAGGAGGGGAGCGAGAACAAGGGAGAGAAACAAAGAAAUUAGACCGUGUUAAAAAAGACCGGAAGAGAAGAGAGACAAGACUCACAUUUCUUGCUUUCUCUGGUUGUCUGACCCUAUCUGUGCUCCUCUCCCUGCCACAGCCGGAGCUCUCUGUCAUGGGAAAGGCGAAGGCCAAUGCUGGGCUCCUGGCCCGGAGGCCUGACAACUUGGCUUUCAAACAUCAGAGACUGCCUGUCUGGUCCCCAAUGCUCACUGCUCACACCAUCCUGCCUUCCUUUUAUUGUAUGGCCACUAUACGUGUGAAACUGGGAGUGUGCCUACUUGCCACCGUGCAGAAUACACAUGAACUGAAGGUGGACUACACACACGCAGGGUCAUGUGAUAAGUGUUUUGAGACCACAAGCUGUUGAACCAAAUCCAAGUCCUUUGAGAAGCACAGUGAUUAUGUUUCCUAUUUCCUGUCCCAGAGAGAUGUGUUCUUCUACUUUGGGCUGAUCAACUUCCACCAGAACAUACAUGGACUCCAGGGAUGAUGGACAGAUGGUCAGGAGAAAAUAAAAGCCUGCAGCGCCUACAGAGCCCUUCAUAAAGGAAAAUAAUGGACUCCCUAUCGCCCCCUGCUGGGCCAUGGCCAACAGCAUGUUCAACGACUCCUUCACUCCGACGUACUAGUCAGGAGAGGAGGGUCCAGUGGUCCAUGUUCAUCUGUUCAGGAAGGGCAUCCCCUGGUACACCGACAAGAACGUCAAGUUCCGCAACCCACCAGAUGAGAACAAGACACUAACGUUAGCAAGUGAUUGAAGGCACGGCCCGGCCUCUGUACUGGUAGAAGCCCGUGUUUGACCUGGACCCACAACAACGGCUUCAUCAACGAGGACUUGAUAGUGUGGAUGAGGGAGGCUGCCUUCCCCAACUUCAAGGAGCUCUACGGGGUCCCGAGCUAGAGAACCCUUCACUGAAGGGCUGCCGACUGGGAACUACUGCAUCCAUAUCUCCUACAGUAGCCAUUAUUAUUAAUCUGCUUAUUAAUGCUUUAUUCUACCAGAUUGAUCAUUUUGAGAUUUAAAUCAAUUUAAUUAAAACGAUUUCCAAUUGGCAGAUUACUAUUUCCGACCUUGAGGCAGAUUGGGGUUAGCUAGUUUCUCAUUGGGUGGAAGUGAAACAGUAGGUUGUGGCUUAAAAUGUUGGAUUUGUUUAUUUGGUCAGUUAUAAAAACAAUGUGGGCCACAGCACAUGAAGCCCUGCGUUAGACUGCAGUGGAUUCCUUCUAGGGCAGAAAGGAAGUGGUACUGUCCACAGUCAGCUGGUUCGGGAGUCAGAACAACUUCCUGCCCGUAGCCUACCUGAUCACUGGCUGUCUCAUCCUGCUCCUCGCUGUUAUCCUCACCGCCAUUUGGUGGAAGUUUGGUAAGAACAGACGGAAUAUGGAGGAGUGAUGUAAAAGGACCAAUGUGAAAAGGGGUGAGGAAGAAAAUACAUAUUGAGUGAAUCAUGAGAAAGAGAAGUCUGAUAUUUCAUUCUAAAUACUGUGAAUGUGACCAAUUGAUUUACUGAAAUGGUCAACGAUCCAAAUGCACGUAGUUCACAUUUGAGAUGUGGUUUGUGUUAUUAGCGUUUGAUUAUCAUGAACGCUUGUGCUUGGUUUAAUUUCCCUACAUCGCCAUGUGGUGGCAGAAGUGGUGUUAAAAUGAAAUGAGGUGGGAUACAUUCGGAAAUUGUUUUCAGAUUAUUACAGUGCAGUCGGGAAAUAUUCAGACAGUUUAAUACUUUCCAGUCGUAUUCUAAAAUUGAUUAAAUGUUUUUUUCCCCUCAUCUACACACAAUAUAUA